Molecule: long non-coding RNA, 632 nt
Filed under: Vulpes vulpes (red fox)
Lineage: Eukaryota; Metazoa; Chordata; Mammalia; Carnivora; Canidae
Description: lncRNA (ENSVVUG00000005700.1)
Source: RNAcentral
GCCAUACUCGUCCUAAAGCUACAGGUGACUUUCCAGGUGUGGCUGAGGUUCUCUGUCUUCUGUCUUUCUAUUAUGGAUACUUUAUGAGUGAGGUUUUAGGUAACUGUGUUGGUUUCUUGGCAGAAGCAGAAAUUAUUCCAGGAAUCAUGAUUCUAUUGCCCCUCGAUAAUCUUUCUGUUUCCAAGACACAAGUUCUUAGAGUUAUGAUUCCUAAGUGGUCCCAAUUCAUUCCAACUCUUCUGACAGAGGCAAGACUGUAUAUCUCUGGCCUGAAUUCCAGAAUUAGGAUAAAAAUCGACUUUCUCCACAGAAGUGCUGCUUUUUCUCAUGAAACACACUAUAAACAAAAAAGAGAUUCAAAUGAGCAUUUAGGACAAGUGCCAGAAAAGAUUCUGGAUCCCAUCCAGAGUGCCUCCAAAAGACUAGCUAAUUCCGGGCAGGAGGAAAAGGGAGAAAGAAGGACGGUGUUUCAAACAGGAAACAAAGGGUGGACAAGAGGGAUGAGAAGUCCAAAGGAGGAAGGAGACAGAGAACCUCUAUCACAGGUGAGACAAAAGUGAAGAAGGGCCUUUGUAGCUGGGCUAUCGUCCAGCAUGGAACAUCCUCCAUUCUCCCAUGAGGCCCCUCUCCUG